This 374-nucleotide ribosomal RNA is filed under the name uncultured organism. RNAcentral describes it as "bacterial SSU rRNA". It matches the Rfam family "Bacterial small subunit ribosomal RNA", at positions 526 to 896 of the family's 1533-position model. The record is from RNAcentral.
CGUAGGGGGCGAGCGUUGUCCGGAUUCAUUGGGCGUAAAGCGCUUUAAGGCGGUUCGCUAAGUCGGGUGUGAAACCUCCAGGCUCAACCUGGAGACGCCACUCGAUACUGGCGUGACUAGAGUUCGGUAGGGGACCACGGAAUUCCUGGUGUAGCGGUGAAAUGCGCAGAUAUCAGGAGGAACACCAGUGGCGAAGGCGGUGGUCUGGGCCGAUACUGACGCUGUAGAGCGAAAGCGUGGGGAGCGAACAGGAUUAGAUACCCUGGUAGUCCACGCCGUAAACGUUGGGCACUAGGUGUGGGGGAUUAUCAACGUCCUCCGUGCCGUAGCUAACGCAUUAAGUGCCCCGCCUGGGGAGUACGGCCGCAAGGCUA